RNAcentral lists this ribosomal RNA (628 nucleotides) under Platyamoeba sp. VAN_1444/10. RNAcentral describes it as "bacterial SSU rRNA". It matches the Rfam family "Eukaryotic small subunit ribosomal RNA", at positions 1156 to 1785 of the family's 1831-position model. Lineage: Eukaryota; Discosea; Flabellinia; Vannellidae. The record is from RNAcentral.
ACGGAGGGGCACCACCAGGAGUGGAGCGUGCGGCUUAAUUUGACUCAACACGGGAAAACUUACCAGGUCCAGACAUUUGAAGGAUUGACAGAUUGAUAGCUCUUUCAUGAUUAAAUGGGUGGUGGUGCAUGGCCGUUCUUAGUUGGUGGAGUGAUUUGUCUGGUUAAUUCCGAUAACGAACGAGACCUUUACCAGCUAAAUAGUAAUUAUUAGGAUUUGUCCUAGUAAGAUAUACUUCUUAGAGGGACUAUUGGUUUUUAAACCAAAGGAAGUAAAGGCGAUAACAGGUCUGUGAUGCCCUUAGAUGUUCUGGGCUGCACGCGCGCUACAAUGAUCAACUCAUCAAGUUAUCUCAACUUGUUUGUGAUUUACUUUUCCUGAAGGAAUGGUUAAUCUUCAACGUUGAUCGUGCUUGGGAUAGAUAAUUGUAAUUAUUUGUGUUGAACAAGGAAUUCCUAGUAAUCGUAAUUCAUCAGAUUGCGAUGAUUACGUCCCUGCCCCUUGUACACACCGCCCGUCGCUGCUACCGAUUGAAUAAUCCGGUGAACUCGUCGGAUUGUGGUAAAUAUUUAGCUUUCGGGUUAAGUGAACUGCGAGAAGUUGAGUAAACCAAAAUUAGAGAACACAA